This 700-nucleotide ribosomal RNA is filed under the name uncultured bacterium. RNAcentral describes it as "bacterial SSU rRNA". It matches the Rfam family "Bacterial small subunit ribosomal RNA", at positions 94 to 792 of the family's 1533-position model. The record is from RNAcentral.
ACCGGCGCACGGGUGAGUAACACGUAUGCAACCUGCCCCUGUCAGGGGGACAACCCGCCGAAAGGCGGGCUAAACCCGCGUACAUGCCACCGGGGCAUCCCGGAGGCAGGAAAGGCUUCGGCCGGACAGGGAUGGGCAUGCGGCGCAUUAGGCAGUAGGCGGGGUAACGGCCCACCUAACCGACGAUGCGUAGGGGUUCUGAGAGGAAGGUCCCCCACACUGGUACUGAGACACGGACCAGACUCCUACGGGAGGCAGCAGUGAGGAAUAUUGGUCAAUGGUCGGGAGACUGAACCAGCCAAGCCGCGUGAGGGAUGAAGGUACAGAGUAUCGUAAACCUCUUUUGUCAGGGAACAAAGGCGGGGACGUGUCCCCGGAUGAGUGUACCUGAAGAAAAAGCAUCGGCUAACUCCGUGCCAGCAGCCGCGGUAAUACGGAGGAUGCGAGCGUUAUCCGGAUUUAUUGGGUUUAAAGGGUGCGCAGGCGGUCUGUUAAGUCAGCGGUAAAAUUGCGGGGCUCAACCCCGUACAGCCGUUGAAACUGCCGGGCUCGAGUGGGCGAGAAGUAUGCGGAAUGCGUGGUGUAGCGGUGAAAUGCAUAGAUAUCACGCAAAACCCCGAUUGCGAAGGCAGCAUACCGGCGCCCUACUGACGCUUANGCACGAAAGUGCGGGGAUCAAACAGGAUUAGAUACCCUGGUA